This 1093-nucleotide long non-coding RNA is filed under the name Jatropha curcas. RNAcentral's name for it is "long non-coding RNA (JCUR_LNC001752)". The record is from RNAcentral. Lineage: Eukaryota; Viridiplantae; Streptophyta; Magnoliopsida; Malpighiales; Euphorbiaceae.
ACUUUCUAAAAUAAUUUUAUUAUACUUCUAACUUUUUUUCCUUUAAUUAUAUAUUCCUUAAGAUCAAGCAUCUAUAUUAUAUGUUUUACUUGAUUUAUUUAAAACUCAAACUAUUAACUCCAUGUUUAUCAAAAUUCUUAAUUAAUUUAUAAGUCGGUAACUAAAAUUUACUUUAAUUUAUUAAAACCUUCUAAUCAUAAUCAACAUUUAUAAAAUAUAUUGGAAAAUAUCCAAAAUCAGAUUAACUGGCCAUUAAAUGCCGAAAAUUAGCUAAUUUUCUAGAAAAAUAACCAAAAAUAGUUAUAAUACCCUAAAAUACAGCACUGCCAACAAUAGCUUGUCAGAGUUCAUGAAUACGAUGGUCGGUGAAGCUGUCAACGACGGGAAAAGGACCAAAUCGACUAGCCUUCAGCAAGUCUCACCGGAAAACGGACUAAGGACAAUGGUUAGCGGGAUUGUCCCGAUCGCAAACCACGACUGCAGCCCGUUACGCUUGCUGUGCCGGUUGGAAACAAACAAAGAGAGAGAAAUAGAAUUUGCGUUGUUAACGAGGAAGGGUACUGGAGCCGUUCGAUCGUGAUGGUGUUGCGGAAAUGGACGGAGGCGCUGCUGCGUCGUUCUCUUUGCGAAGAGGAGCCCGCAGCUCGCCUGUCUGCUGCUUUCACUGGAGACGGAAACUGAGAAAGAGAUGGUAAUUAACGGCGGCGCUGCUGGCUCAGGUGGCAACCGAAAGACAGAGAGAGAGAGAGAGGAGGCGGACUGCCGCUGGAUCGAUAAAGAAGAAAGAAAACAGAAAAAAAAAAAAGCUUCUUUACAACAUUCUAGGGUUUCCUAUGAUAAUUCGGUUCGAUUUGAGUCGAGUUUGAUCCAAUUCAAGAAUUGGGUCUGCUUUCCACUUGAUGUACAGGUUUUUAUUUGGUUUGAAAGUUUUAAAUUGGUUUAAGGAUUCGGUUUAGCAAUAAUAAUUUUUUUUUAAAAUUUUAUUAUACAAUCCUAUUGGUUGGAAUUAAAAUUAUGAAAAAUUUAUGAAAUUGUAUUUUUGGUUAUUCCGUUCAUUAUCAAAAUUGAAUAAAAUUAUAUUUCCCCUAUUCAA